UCACACUAUUUGUGUACGUAACACAUGCUGCGUUUCAGGGUGAAUGAUCUAAAAACAUUAAUUUCUUCCUCAGCGAUCAGUGGCAUAUCAUGGAAAAACCUCUUUUUGACAGUGGUUGGUCGGAUGUGAUGGGAGAGUCAUGUCGGCUGUGAGCGUUUAGAGUCAGCGGGGAUACAGAGGCUCCAGUGUAACGAGAGAGAGGCCUUUAUGUGCUGUGACUCAGAUGAACACAGCAGUUGUUGGGGAAAAGGUCAGUGGAUUUUGUUGGUAUUCUGCAGCCGUGCGCUUUUUGGCAGGACACUUGACGGCGCAGCGGGCACUCGAGCUUGAAAUGAUGUUGCUUCCUCCGGCCAGGAGGCGAUGGCUCCCAUGCCACACAGCAUACGCAGGAUGCCAUAAAUCCUACAGUUCUAGUCACGGCACAAGAAGAUCUCUUUAUGGCCCGUAUGGAGAGGAGGAAUGAUUACAACGACCCAUAACUGUUGCAGCGUACAUAUGACGUGUGAUUAGAGAAAUCCCCCGGACCCUGUCAGAAACACCGAAUCAGCACACUCAUACACUGAGGUGAGUGUGCGUUUCAGUCUGUAAUCUUUGCAUGCAUGUAGUUUGAUGUGUGUGUGUUUCUUCCUAUGCUGCAUGUCUGCUUGAGUGUAACUGCACAAUGCUAUCCUAGUGGUGGAAGAGGUAAUGAGAUCUUUCACUUAAGAAAUAGUGUCAAAACAGCAAUUUAAGCAUUCU
This 738-nucleotide long non-coding RNA is filed under the name Dicentrarchus labrax (European seabass). Its description in RNAcentral is "lncRNA (ENSDLAG00005015033.2)". Lineage: Eukaryota; Metazoa; Chordata; Actinopteri; Moronidae. The record is from RNAcentral.